CUCCCUUUUGACCUUCGGAGUUGAGACCGGGAUCUUGCGGGGAGCGCUGGGGGCCGAUGAUCCCUCCGCCCGUGAGGAUCUGCCCCAGCCCUCCGCAUGACAGCUACCACCUUUGCAUCGUUGAAUGCCCGGGGCUGUAGGGUGGGUCUCCGUAGGAGCCAGGUGCUCUCCUUCCUUCGGGAGGGGGGGUACUCUGUGAUUUUCCUGCAGGAGACCCACACGGCUCCGGCCGUCGAGGCUAGCUGGUGGCUGGAGUGGGGAGACGGGGUUUAUUUUAGCCACCUCAGCGCCCAUUCGGCUGGGGUGGCCACCCUGUUCUCCCCGGGGCUGCGGCCUGAGGUGCUGGGGGUCGCCGAGGUUGUGCCGGGCCGCCUGCUGCACGUCCGGGCCCGUGUGGAGGGGCUGGUUCUGAACUUGGUCAACGUCUAUGCCCCGAACACGGGCCCGGAACGAGUGCCUUUCUAUCAGCGGGCGGCGGCCUUCCUCGGCACUCUGGAUUCUCGCGAGUGCCUGGUCCUUGGCGGGGACUUAAACACCACCCUCGAGGACCGGGACCGCUCCGGGCUUGAGACUUCCCAGGCAGCCGCGGGCGUCCUCAGGGAGAUCAUAGACCAUCACUCCCUGGUGGACGUCUGGCGCGAACACCACCCGGACGACGACACCACCUUCACCUAUGUCCGGGUGGAGGACGACCGGUCGCACCACUCCCGGUUGGACCGAAUCUACCUGUCCCGUUUUCAUCUGGUGCGGGCUGAUGCCUCCAGCGUCCGGCCGGCCCCGUUCUCGGAUCACCAUCUGGUGACCGUGACGGCCUCUCUCAGUUCUGAGCGGCCGGGGCCGGCCUAUUGGCAUUUUAAUAAUAGUUUGCUGGAGGACGUGGGCUUCGUGGCGUCCUUCCGGGAGUUCUGGCUGGCCUGGCGGGGGCAGCAGCGCGCCUUUCCCUCGGCGCGGCGGUGGUGGGACGUGGGGAAGGUCCGUGCGCGGCUCUUCUGCCGGAACUACGCCCGGGGCGCCAGCCGGCGGCGGGAUGCGUUGAUAGGGCAGUUGGAGCGGGAGGUCUUGG
Molecule: long non-coding RNA, 1063 nt
Filed under: Chrysemys picta bellii (western painted turtle)
Lineage: Eukaryota; Metazoa; Chordata; Testudines; Emydidae
Description: lncRNA (ENSCPBG00000011579.1)
Source: RNAcentral